This is a non-coding RNA of Caretta caretta (loggerhead turtle), 1548 nucleotides long. The record is from RefSeq and is a predicted model, not a curated record. NCBI's taxonomy places the organism in Eukaryota, Metazoa, Chordata, Testudines, Cheloniidae.
GCCAUGGAGCCGGCUCGUGGGGCUCCCCGGCGGGGGGCCGGGAGGAUCCGCCGGCAUCCUGGCCCCGGGCAGGGGGCCCCGGCUCGGGCGGGGGCGGGCCUGGCAGCGGGGAGCCGGGGGACGGGGACGGGAGCGGGAGCUAGAUUCGGAUUGUGCUAGGCGCUGCACAGGCGCGCAACGAGGAGACCCCCCGCCCUGGCCGGCGCCGGGACUCGUCCUGGUUCCAGAUCCCGCCCCGGAGCCGGGACCCAGCGAUCUCCAGCUCAUCCAGCCGAGGGGCCGGCCGGAGACACCCGCCAUCGCCAGCUCCACACGGGUCUAUACCCCAAGGCAGUGGGGUCUAGUGCAGGCUCGCUGACGUCUCUGCAGGGUGCCCUCGGCAAGGAGUUCCCAUGAUGACGAGGCACUGCGUUCCAGGGAAACCGAUUCCUCGCGCCAAACCUGCAUGGUGCCAGCCUGCCUCGCAAGGGGUGGGGGCGGGGGUCACUCACCCUGCUGCUGAAAUGCAGCCACCUCUGGGGUGGAACGCAGCGGAGAGGACGUUGCCGCAGACCCUGCUGCAUGGGUGCUGAACUCCCAGGAAGCAGACGGGGCAGUAGGAAUACGAGAGCAGCAUUGGUCGCUGGUUCACAGCGGCGAGCAACUUUGUCUGGCUCUCUGGACCCAGCUGGCAGGAGCCUAGGGAGACCCGGAGGCCAGCUGCAGUUCUGCCACCAGGAGCCGGAGACAGCCAGGAACGAAUGGGGGGGGGGGGGGAAGGUGCAAUAAAAGCCCUGACCACUGGGUGGUGCCCUCAUUCUGUGCACAGGUCAGCCUCCCCGCCCAGCCCAAUUCCCCCCAUAUACACAGUCAACCCCCCUCCACGCAGGUCUCCAUUAGAGCCACAUUCCUCUCAAACCCCUCCUCAUGUAUGGGGGACCAGUAGGGCCCUCUGCCUCAGUUUCCCCUCUAAAAUGGGGAUAAUGUCUCUGCCCUCCCUAGUAAAGUGCUGUGAGAGCUGAUGAAGGGCACUGGAUGGGAGUGUGGGAUCCUCCCCGCAAUCUCCUGUCCACACAGACCCUUCACGGGGGACAGGUCCGUGUUGAUCAGUGCAGCAUUGGGCGCCUUCCUAGCCCUGGCCACCUAGUCCUGUGCCCACCUGAGCCCCUGCCUGGCCUCACCCAGGCUACUCUGCAGUGCCCCCAGCACUGCUGGGCAUUCCCCACAGGCUCCUGGUCCCAGCCCAGCUGUACAUCCAGCCAGCUCCGUUUCUUCUUCCCUUCGCCCCCCUCCAGGUGGUUGGCGCCUCCCUCCUGCUGGCUGCAACCUGUACCCCAGCUGCCAUCUCCUGGGCACGGGGGUGGGCCUAGAUCUCCCCACAGGGGGCCAGAGUAGCCACUGGGCCAGUUGUAACAAGAGCAAUGUUAUAGUGGGCAUGGCAACACCCAUUGUUUCAUGUUCUCUGUGUCUAUAGAUCUUCCUACUGUAUUUUCCACUGCAUAUAUCUGAUGAAGUGGGUUUUAGCCCACAAAAGUUUAUGCCCAAAUAAAUUUGUUAGUCUCUAAGGUG